Molecule: ribosomal RNA, 459 nt
Filed under: fungal endophyte
Lineage: Eukaryota; Fungi
Description: eukaryotic LSU rRNA
Rfam family: 5.8S ribosomal RNA (bases 124-277)
Source: RNAcentral
AGGAGACCCUUGCCUUUUCGAGCACCUGUUUGUUUCCUCGGCAGGCCCGCCUGCCAACGGGGACCAUUUAAACUCUUGCAAUCAACCUGAACAAAAUCGUCUGAACAAAAAAAUCUAAAUCAAAACUUUCAACAACGGAUCUCUUGGUUCUGGCAUCGAUGAAGAACGCAGCGAAAUGCGAUAAGUAGUGUGAAUUGCAGAAUUCAGUGAAUCAUCGAAUCUUUGAACGCACAUUGCGCCCUAUGGUAUUCCGUAGGGCAUGCCUGUUCGAGCGUCAUUUACACCUUCAAGCUCCGCUUGGUGUUGGGUGACUGUGGCCCCUCGGGGCCACUCGCCUCAAAGUCAUUGGCGGCCGGUUUGUAGGCUUCGAGCGCAGCACAUGUGCGUGCUUCGUGCCUCGCGGAUCGGCUCCCAGAAGCUAAAUCUCACAUUUUUGACCUCAAAUCAGGUAGGGAUACC